GAACGCACCUUGCACCCUUUGGCAUUCUGAAGGGUAUGCUCGUUUGAGUGUCAUUGUACUCUCACACUUCCGAUCUUUGUAUUGGGAGUGGUGGACUUGGGUGUUUGCUGCUUUACUGCGGCUCACCUCAAAUGCAUUAGUGCAACUCUUGGUUGGACAUAGUACGGCGUGAUAAGUAUCUUCGCCGGCACCUCGCAAGAGGGUGGCUGAUCAGGAGCUCUGUGCUCUCCAACUGUCUUCAGACAACAACUGACAACUUGACCUCAAAUCGAGUAGGACCACCCGCUGAACUUAAG
Molecule: unclassified non-coding RNA, 296 nt
Filed under: uncultured Sebacina
Lineage: Eukaryota; Fungi; Basidiomycota; Agaricomycetes; Sebacinales; Sebacinaceae
Description: sequence contains 5.8S rRNA gene
Source: RNAcentral